AUGGCAGAACAGGCUGGAGGCUCCAGCAGGAGACAAGCCCCAGGGGGCUGGGCCGGCCCGGCGGCCACCGAGGCAGCUCUUCCCCGGUCGGGGCCGCCCCGCAACCCGGGCGUCGCGUCCCCCAAAGCCGGCCCCGUGCACGCUCCCGACGCCAAGCUCAGCGAUCCCGGAAAAGAGAAAAGCAGCAGCGGCGGGGGCACGAAGGUCCUUGCUCCCCGCUUCCCCGGGGUCGAGUGUACGGCUGCCCCCCCCACCCCAGGGCCCUGCAGUGGGCUCGCCCCCCCACCGCCACCCUGGGAGCCGGGGCUUGGAGGCCGGCGCCCCCUCGCGGCGCAAAUUCAGGGCCCGGGGCCAAGGCGGGGCGGGGGCGCGACACGCACCAAGGGCCCGGCCCGCCCCGCCCCACGGCGCCACCUGCCGCCGCCCGACCGCGCCCAGCCCGCAGGUGGAGCGCCUCCUCCCCGCCGCUCGGCUCCCCUUUUUCAAGGCACCGUCGCCUCCGGGUGCCUCUCCUCCGAGACCCCCCCCCGUUCCCUCCGAGAACCCCUCCCCUCCGAGGCCCCCCUCCCCCACCACGAGGCCCCCCUCGCCCCCCCGAGGCCCCUUCCCCCCAGACCCCAGACCCCCUCCCCUCCGGGGCCCCCUCCCCACCGAGGCCUCCCUCCCCUCCGAGGCCCCCUUCCCCCCCAGACCUCCUGCCCUCGGAGACCCCCAGGCCCCCUCCCCUCCGAGGCUCCCCCCACGCCCCGCCUGUCCCGAGCGUGCUUCCCUCCGGGCCGCCCACCCCCUCCCCGCCACCGCCUUUACUGGUCCCCGCCGGGGGCUCCGCGGCCCGGGAGCUCGGGAGGGGCCUCGCGCGGGGGUGCCAAGCACCCGGCCCAGCAGCCAGCAGGGGGCAGCCGGUCUCCGGAUUUGGGCCCUAAAGGCUCGGGUCCCUCCACCCUCGGCACACAAAGCCUUCCCGGAGAACCUGUUGGCCCUACCCAGGGGACCCAGUCGUCAGGAUGGAGCCCGGCCCCACGCGGGGCCUCAGCCCUGGGCAGCAUUCUCCUCCAGCCCUCCUACCUGCCACCUUGCACCUGCCUGGUGUGCCGCUCCACUAAUUGGUCUUCUAUGUGCUUAGGUCCCUUUCUGGGCAGAGUCAAGGAGAGGCAUCUGCCCAGGCCCCUGUUGUGUCUGGUCACCUGGACGUUAUGCACGCAAGGCCUGCUGCAGUUAGAGCAUCUGCUUCUUGCUGUUGUGUAA
Molecule: long non-coding RNA, 1245 nt
Filed under: Canis lupus familiaris (dog)
Lineage: Eukaryota; Metazoa; Chordata; Mammalia; Carnivora; Canidae
Description: lncRNA (ENSCAFG00040004097.1)
Source: RNAcentral